This is a long non-coding RNA of Vigna radiata var. radiata (mung bean), 1064 nucleotides long. RefSeq lists it as uncharacterized. The transcript has 3 exons. NCBI's taxonomy places the organism in Eukaryota, Viridiplantae, Streptophyta, Magnoliopsida, Fabales, Fabaceae. The record is from RefSeq and is a predicted model, not a curated record.
GAAAAGUGAAAAAAAAGAGAGUUGAGUAGAAUGAUUCCCGCUUAGGGUGCGAGAGGUUCCUAGUUCGUUCGUGGAAUGCAGUUUUCGUUUUUUUUUCACGAUUUGGAAGAUGACAGGCUUGACUUGGUAAAAGCUAUAGUCAAAUACCAACCAACUAACACCAGAAAACCAGGAGAAGAUGUUAAUCAAUCUUAACAAUCUGGCUGCAUUAUAGCAUCCACAGUUAAUCCCAAAGACUGCUUGCCAUGCCAUGAUACACUUAGCAGUUGAUUGACAUCUGUAUCUCUCUGUUAGUUUGCAGUCUUUGCAGCUGAGAACCAAGACAGGUUGGCAUGAAGCACCAAAAAGCUGCUUUGGUUUCUGUAUCUCUCCCACAAGUUUUCAAGCAACAGUCCCGACACCAAGAUGCUGGUUUGUGAUCUUGUGUCUAUGUAUGACAUUUGAACCUGCAUUCUAGAAUGAAGUAAUAUUGCUAAAUUAACUAUUGCUAUUUUAAAUUUAAUAAGGAAGAAGGUUGUGAAUUGUUUCCAUGGUGCCUGCCACCCAAAACUAUAAUAUAGUUGUCUUUUUUUAAGUAAUAAAACCCAUUAGAAAUUAUCAAGUAUCUUAUUUUCUAGUUUAUAACACUCAGAUUGAAUAUUUGAUGUUCUACAUAUAGAUUCACAUGCUGUUUGAUUUUAUUCAAGCUAGUCAGACAGGAAAAUGAAAACUAGUAUGAUACCACAGUAGUUACUAUGGUUCAGUCUGAUGCAACAUACAAAUUGAAUCGUAUUGCAAAACUUCAGUUCUUAGUGUAUAUAUAAGCCAAUCAGCAACCGUAACAAAGUUGGUGGACAUUUUACGAGAGAUCAAGAAACAACAAAUUCUCUAUUGCUGAUGGAUUUCAACUCCCUGCUCUUGGGAAACCACAUUACAAAUACAAGUAAUGUUUCAACUUGUGGUAAGAAAAGGAGUGCGACUAAAUUUGAGUGAUAUCAUGUGGUAUAAGUCAGAUGUAAGCGAAGUUUUAACCUCUGAAUCCGCCCUAAACAAUAUUGCCAAGUCAAUUUAUUAGUUUUUAUUAG